This is a long non-coding RNA of Oncorhynchus masou masou (cherry salmon), 181 nucleotides long. RefSeq lists it as uncharacterized. The transcript is spliced from 4 exons. The record is from RefSeq and is a predicted model, not a curated record. Lineage: Eukaryota; Metazoa; Chordata; Actinopteri; Salmoniformes; Salmonidae.
UGUCUAACAAUUUCGUGGAGAUCAAAGGAAGUGUGUUUAAGAAGUUUGAGAAGAACAACCUCUUUCAGAUGUCUAACAGUGACAUAAAGGAGAGGUUCACUAACUAUGUUCUGUUACUCAUUGUCUGUCUACGGAACAUGGAGCAGUUCUCAUGGAACCCUGACCACCUGUGGGUGCUGUU